This 451-nucleotide ribosomal RNA is filed under the name uncultured bacterium. Its description in RNAcentral is "bacterial SSU rRNA". It matches the Rfam family "Bacterial small subunit ribosomal RNA", at positions 340 to 786 of the family's 1533-position model. The record is from RNAcentral.
UACGGAAGGCAGCAGGGGGAAUAUUGCACAAUGGGCGCAAGCCUGAUGCAGCCAUGCCGCGUGUAUGAAAAAGGCCUUCGGGUUGUAAAGUACUUUCAGUCGUGAGGAAGGUGUUAAGGUUAAUAACCUUAGCAAUUGACGUUAGCGACAGAAGAAGCACCGGCUAACUCCGUGCCAGCAGCCGCGGUAAUACGGAGGGUGCGAGCGUUAAUCGGAAUUACUGGGCGUAAAGGGCACGCAGGCGGUUAAUUAAGUUGGAUGUGAAAUCCCCGGGCUUAACCUGGGAAUGGCAUUCAAGACUGGUUAGCUAGAGUCUUGUAGAGGGGGUAGAAUUCCAUGUGUAGCGGUGAAAUGCGUAGAGAUGUGGAGGAAUACCGGUGGCGAAGGCGGCCCCUGGACAAAGACUGACGCUCAUGUGCGAAAGCUGGGGAGCAAACAGGGAUUAGAUACC